GACGAACGCUGGCGGCGUGCCUAAUACAUGCAAGUCGGGCGGACCGAACGAGGGCUUGCUCUUGUUUGGUCAGCGGCGGACGGGUGAGUAACACGUGGGCAACCUGCCCGCAAGACCGGGAUAACUCCGGGAAACCGGAGCUAAUACCGGAUAACACCGAAGACCGCAUGGUCUUCGGUUGAAAGGCGGCCUUUGGGCUGUCACUUGCGGAUGGGCCCGCGGCGCAUUAGCUAGUUGGUGAGGUAACGGCUCACCAAGGCGACGAUGCGUAGCCGGCCUGAGAGGGUGACCGGCCACACUGGGACUGAGACACGGCCCAGACCCCUACGGGAGGCAGCAGUAGGGAAUCUUCCGCAAUGGGCGAAAGCCUGACGGAGCGACGCCGCGUGAGCGAAGAAGGCCUUCGGGUCGUAAAGCUCUGUUGUGAGGGACGAAGGAGCGCCGUUCGAAGAGGGCGGCGCAGUGACGGUACCUCACGAGAAAGCCCCGGCUAACUACGU
Molecule: ribosomal RNA, 500 nt
Filed under: uncultured bacterium
Lineage: Bacteria
Description: partial 16S ribosomal RNA
Rfam family: Bacterial small subunit ribosomal RNA
Source: RNAcentral